UACGGGAGGCAGCAGUGGGGAAUUUUGGACAAUGGGGGAAACCCUGAUCCAGCAAUGCCGCGUGUGCGAAGAAGGCCUUCGGGUUGUAAAGCACUUUUGUCAGGGAAGAGAUCCUUUGGGCUAAUACCCUAGGGGGGAUGACGGUACCUGAAGAAUAAGCACCGGCUAACUACGUGCCAGCAGCCGCGGUAAU
RNAcentral lists this ribosomal RNA (193 nucleotides) under uncultured Limnobacter sp. RNAcentral describes it as "partial 16S ribosomal RNA". It matches the Rfam family "Bacterial small subunit ribosomal RNA", at positions 340 to 524 of the family's 1533-position model. Lineage: Bacteria; Pseudomonadati; Pseudomonadota; Betaproteobacteria; Burkholderiales; Burkholderiaceae. The record is from RNAcentral.